UCCAAGGGCUGGGGAUGUUGCUGUCCUAAGGACAGCUGAGCAAGGGGGUUGAGGAGGAGCUUGGGUGGUGGAGGAGAGGAAACCGGGUAAGAUGCGUGAAGCAGUCAGUCAUACCAGGCCCAGAGAGGACCCGCUGGGACAUAAGAGCCUGCAUGUGAAGCCAGGCCUUGGGCCACCUUGUUCCUCAAAGGAGUGCCUACUUCCAUGGGGUCUUCAAAGGGACUGUGGAAAGAGAGGCCUUCAGCCCACAUCUCUGAAUGCUUUUCCACCACAGCAUGCCCUGUGGCCUUUAUCCUGCUGGUGUGGAACAGUCAGACCCCUGCAGGGCUGCAGAGCCUCUGUACCGGGCGGCAUCCCAGCCUGAGUGCCAGAGCUCAGUGGGCAGGCCCCCAAGCAAGUAGAGAGGAGGCCACCUUUUGGACAGAAUGUGUGGGACGAGAGCAACGGCUCAUCCAUUCAGGUUCCUCACAAAAUGAGAGUCAGGAAGAUCAGGGCGCAGACCUGAUUUUCCACUCAGGGCUGAAAGCAGACAAACCGAGGGAGAGCAGCACCUGGGCCAAUGAGGUAGAAGACAGAAGACUACAGGUACUCCUGCCCUCAACCUCAGCCCCUCCCACCCACAUCCUCCACGCCCCUGACCACCUUCCUCAGAAGUGUAAUAGGAAUCCAGAUUCCCCCUGUCCUGGUUGCUGCGGGAGGUACAGUGGCCUGAUGGAGCCCGAGGCAGGUGUGGCAA
Mandrillus leucophaeus (drill) is the source of this 736-nucleotide RNA transcript. It is a transcript of the gene named protein FAM231D-like, with no coding region annotated. The record is from RefSeq and is a predicted model, not a curated record. NCBI's taxonomy places the organism in Eukaryota, Metazoa, Chordata, Mammalia, Primates, Cercopithecidae. The transcript has a single exon.